UGGCGGCAUUAUCUGUUACCACUUAUUUAUUACAUCAUUUAUUGAAUAGUUGGAUAGAAAGUAUGUAUUUUCUCUUCUACCGGUUGCAGCAAUCAUCCUAUUGUACACCUGGAAUGUUACUAAUAGUGCAAUGUGGAAUUUGUUGUAUAUUUUACAGUUAUAGUUAGAAUGUUUUCAAAGUUUGGUGCUUUCAUUUUUGCAGCCUGAUCUGAUGUCCAUGAGAUUGUUUUUAACUAUAAUCUGUAGAUGUAGAAAAUGGGAGAAGUUUCAAAUGAGCAGAAGCAGCAUUUCACCAUCAUUAUAGGGGUAUUUACUAAACUAUCCAAGGG
This 329-nucleotide long non-coding RNA is filed under the name Elaeis guineensis (African oil palm). RNAcentral describes it as "long non-coding RNA (EGUI_LNC030547)". The record is from RNAcentral. Lineage: Eukaryota; Viridiplantae; Streptophyta; Magnoliopsida; Arecales; Arecaceae.